GAAAUCCUGUCAAAUAAGCUGCUAACCAUAGCAUUUGAAGCGAAUCUUGAGUGUGUUACAGUAAUGUAAUGGGCUAAGCGUAGACAGCAAGGUUGCAGGGACAGCAAUUGAGCGCCGAAAUACCAUAAAUCGGAGUGCCGACUCUGUGGUCUGAGGGGAAGGCAACAUCAUUGCGUGCCAGACCU
This is a non-coding RNA of Clostridiales bacterium 41_21_two_genomes, 185 nucleotides long. The record is from Rfam. Lineage: Bacteria; Bacillati; Bacillota; Clostridia; Eubacteriales.